Molecule: long non-coding RNA, 327 nt
Filed under: Elaeis guineensis (African oil palm)
Lineage: Eukaryota; Viridiplantae; Streptophyta; Magnoliopsida; Arecales; Arecaceae
Description: long non-coding RNA (EGUI_LNC051462)
Source: RNAcentral
GGGGUCCCUUUUUAUAGAUGGAGAAUGUAACUGAUUGACAGCGACGUCUGUAACUGUCUGGUAGUGGGCUGUUCGGGGCCACGCAGAGUUUGUUACGGAGAGUAGUGGCGUCAGGGGGUCGUUCAGGGCCACAUGGAGUUUGUUAUGGAGAGUGGAGUGGUGUCCAUUGUCACGACUUGCCAGAGAGUGGUGGGGCCAUGUGGGAUCUAUUACAGAGAGUGGAGUAGGGUAGUGGCCACUAUCGCGACUUGCCAGAGAGUUCGGGCCUGACGGCUGAAGCUCGGCUGGGACAUCUGAUGGAGCGGUAUGGCUCUCUGUCUCUGCAAU